CUGGACGCUUCAUCUGCUCACCCCAACCUCAAAGGACCAGAAACUGCUUGCUGGUGUCCCUCUCCUUUCCCACCUAGCUUUUUUUGUUUUCUUGAGAGCUGAUUCCAAGAUGUUGAGUCCUCAAUGUAAGCAUGAGUAGUCACCCUUGUACAGAGCUAAGAUAUUCUGACCUGGAAUAGACGGGAUUUGAAUUGUUUAAUGGCUAAGGUCAUAUUCUGUACUUAAUUGUACUUAUACGAAGAAUAUGCUUUCAAGAAGUGUUUUGCUUUUCAAAUCUGUUCCAUUAUAUUAUAGGAAAUAGUGAUUAUUGUGACCAAUAAUUUAUAAAAAAAAAAAAGUAUGUUACGGUUGUAGAUAGAUGUGGCUUUGUAGCAGCCUUCAUGCACAAUGGAUUUUAACAGGAUUAGCAGAGCUCUGGGCUUCCAUACUCUGCCAUAUGUUUAAGGAAUUUUGCCCUUAAUCAUUUUCCUUCAGCAUGUUUGAAACACCUCUCCAUGUCCUGUUUCUUGAAUGAUUUUACAAUUCCUUGAAUAUAUGCAUAAAGGGGCAAAUUAAUCCCCAAUGUUUUGUUACUUAUCAGGUGGGACAUGAAGUAUUGUCUACUGUUGGGAAUGGUAUGAGUUUUUAUAUUCUUAAUUACUGUAACAAUUUAGCAUUUGAAAGUCUGAGACAGUGUCAGGAUUGAUAGUCAAAACCAAGUUCUUCAUCAAAACCAAGUUCUUCAACCCUUUCAUCCUCCAAAUUAAAUGUAUAUUUAGGUCCCUGUGAUUCUGAUUCUGAGAGGAAGCGUUCACCCAAUCCGUGGAUAACUGAACUCAAGACUCCGCAGUACCUGCGAUGCUAAGCCCCUCCAUGUACUAUCAAAUGACAUUUCAAUAGAUGAAAGCUAGUGAGGUCCUUUUGUAUUUUCUUUCUUUCUCCCUCCUCCCCCAAUUUAAAAACAUGGAAAGGCUGGCCUGGUGGCACAUGCCUUUAAUCCUAGCACUUGGGAGGCAGAGGCAGGUAGAUCUCUGAGCCAGACUGGUCUACAUAAUAAGUUAGUGAACAGACAAAACUACAUAGUGAGACCUUGUCUCAGAACAACCAAACAGAUCAGUAUGGGAAUCAUCUGUGAUUUUUCUUGCAUACGUGCUUUUCUUUGCCACUGGAGGUUAACUCACCAAGACAUGCAUAUGACUUGUGCAGUGUAAAGAAGCACUUGGUGCUGGAAUAGUAUGGAAAUGUAUUUAAUUUUUUAAAAAACAAGACUCAUGAGUCUUGAAUACUUGGUGAAGUUGUGCAUGUGCAGUGAUCACUAAGACACCAAUAAGAAAGAAAAAGACACAAAAAGUCUCUGUAUUUUGAUGUUUGAAGAAUCCAGUUCAUCUCUGGAUGGACCUUCUCAAAGUGGAUCUUAGUGGUGAUGAUGGGGUCUCAGUAUAAUUGUUUUAUGUUUGAUGUCAUGUUUUGAUUUCAGCUGAAAUUGUACCUCUCAUUGGCCUUUGACUUCAGAAAAAGCCCCGACUAGGACGGACACAUAGGGAAGGAAGCAUCUAUGCCCAAGAGAAUGACCUAGGAUCAGUGUCAGCCUUCGUAGUUUUUUAAGCUCCUUGGCAGGUCGUACUGUAAUAUUUCCACAAAACAGUAGUGAACGGCCCUCUGAAUAAUAAGCAACUUUUCAAGAGCCAAAACACGCACUGUGCAGCAUGCUGGGACUAGAAUAUGGAAAUUGUUUUAAUUUCUUCUUUUCUCUUAUGAGGAAAUCACUGCACUUGGUUUGUCAAGACAAGACAGUUCAUUCCCCUGUAUUGAAACAGUGAUGAAUUGAAACAUGUUGGAGCAAGUUUUUAAAGAAAAUCAAAAUUAAACUGGUUUUUCUUAAAUAGCUUAAAGCGUUCCACAGUACACAAUAAAUGAAGCAUUGUAAAAUGAACUUAAUGCAAGUAAUCACUUAAGAGAGAAGUUUAAGCAGAUAGAUAUAUAUAUACAUACACAUAUACAUCAUCAGUCUUGCAGUUCCAGGCUAUAAUUAAUUCUCAGAAACUUGCUGAAUUCCCUCUAAUUUUGUUUCUAUAUAUACUUACCAAGACAGGGAGCAAAUGUGUGUCAAUAUGUAGCAUGACAAAGAGAACUUGGGUGAAGUUUUCUACUUGUGGAGACCCAUUUGGACUGGGCUUGAAAUAUCUCUGGGUAAAUCUCAUCUGUGGCAGUGUCCCCACACUACAGUAAGGCUUCCAUAACCAUUCUAAGCAAAGACUGCGCUUUUGUUUAUUGAAGUAAAAUCAGUAAAAGUGUGCAGUUGGCUCCCCAAGGCAGCUGACCGGUGCUAAUAGGUGCUAAUUUGACAGAUUCUCAGAAUGAGUUUCCAGAUGGAAUUAGACAGUACCACAAUCUCCAGGAGAGCCCUGGUCCUUUCAUUCAAGUAUGCUUAAUAGACUGAGUGUCCACAGAAUAAAAACACUUUUGUUGUGAAAAUGUACCUGUUUUAUGAAUAAACAUGUGGGUUUUGUGAAUUU
Molecule: long non-coding RNA, 2495 nt
Filed under: Mus musculus (house mouse)
Lineage: Eukaryota; Metazoa; Chordata; Mammalia; Rodentia; Muridae
Description: long non-coding RNA chr2:137069453-137071948
Source: RNAcentral